CCUACGGGGGGCAGCAGUGAGGAAUAUUGGUCAAUGGACGAGAGUCUGAACCAGCCAAGUAGCGUGAAGGAUGACUGCCCUAUGGGUUGUAAACUUCUUUUAUAUGGGAAUAAAAUGUUCCACGUGUGGGAUUUUGUAUGUACCAUAUGAAUAAGGAUCGGCUAACUCCGUGCCAGCAGCCGCGGUAAUACGGAGGAUCCGAGCGUUAUCCGGAUUUAUUGGGUUUAAAGGGAGCGUAGGUGGAAUGUUAAGUCAGUUGUGAAAGUUUGCGGCUCAACCGUAGAAUUGCAGUUGAAACUGGCAGUCUUGAGUACGGGAGAGGUAUGCGGAAUUCGUGGUGUAGCGGUGAAAUGCUUAGAUAUCACGAAGAACUCCGAUUGCGAAGGCAGUUCACUGGACUGCAACUGACGCUGAGGCUCGAAAGUGUGGGUAUCAAACAGGAUUAGAUACCCUUGUAGUC
RNAcentral lists this ribosomal RNA (460 nucleotides) under uncultured bacterium. Its description in RNAcentral is "partial 16S ribosomal RNA". It matches the Rfam family "Bacterial small subunit ribosomal RNA", at positions 338 to 795 of the family's 1533-position model. The record is from RNAcentral.